GAUGAAGAACGCAGCGAAAUGCGAUAAGUAGUGUGAAUUGCAGAAUUCCGUGAAUCAUCGAAUCUUUGAACGCACAUUGCGCCUCCUGGUACUCCGGGAGGCAUGCCUGUCCGAGCGUCGUUUCAACCCUCGAGCCCCCGUGGCCCGGCGUUGGGGAUCUGCCACGGCAGGCCCCUAAAACCAGUGGCGGACCCGAAGGCCCUCUCCUUUGCGCAGUAGCAUCAGCCUCGCAUUGGGAUCCCUCGGCGUCCUGCCUCUAAACCCCCCACAAGUCCGCUCCGGCGGCACCAAGGUUGACCUCGGAUCAGGUAGGAAUACCCGCUGAACUUAAGCAUACAAUAAGCGGAGGA
This 350-nucleotide unclassified non-coding RNA is filed under the name soil metagenome. RNAcentral describes it as "partial contains 5.8S ribosomal RNA, internal transcribed spacer 2, and large subunit ribosomal RNA". The stretch from base 1 to 120 matches the Rfam family "5.8S ribosomal RNA", at positions 35 to 154 of the family's 154-position model. The record is from RNAcentral.